GGGCCUAAAGCGUCCGUAGUCGGUUUAAUAAGUCUCUGGUGAAAUACCUGUAGCGUUAACUGUGGGAAUUGCUGGAGAUACUAUUAGACUUGAGACCGGGAGAGGUUAGAGGUAUCCCAGGGUAGAGGUGAAAUUCUGUAAUCCUGGGAGGACCGCCUGUUGCGAAGGCGUCUAACUGGAACGGUUCUGACGGUGAGGGACGAAAGUUAGGGGCGCGAACCGGAUUAGAUACCCGGGUAGUCCUAACUGUAAACGAUGCGGACUUGGUGUUGGGGUGGCUUUGAGCUGCUCCAGUGCCGAAGGGAAGCUGUUAAGUCCGCCGCCUGGGAAGUACGGUCGCAAGACUGAAACUUAAGGAAUUGGCGGGGGAGCACCACAACGCGUGGAGCCUGCCGGUUUAAUUGGAUUCAACGCCGGACAUCUCACCAGAGGCGACAGCUGUAUGAUAGCCAGGUUGAUGACUUUGCUUGACUAGCUGAGAGGUGGUGCAUGG
Molecule: ribosomal RNA, 493 nt
Filed under: uncultured archaeon
Lineage: Archaea
Description: bacterial SSU rRNA
Rfam family: Archaeal small subunit ribosomal RNA
Source: RNAcentral